CUUUUGGAUUGUUUAUAGGGAUAUUUUGUUGACCGUGGAGACAUUGCGAGUGUUUUAGAAUCAGUAAAGCAAAGCAACAAAAACCAACUGGGGUCAUAGAGAAAUGAUAAAUAAAAAUUAGAAAAUGGAAAAGAAAGAGAAAAAGCAAAUUGAAAUAAUUCACAUAACAAAGAUCUCACGAGGAGCAGUUGCAUCACCAAUCUCCAUGUUCACUCCCUCGAGAUUCUCACCUUCUCCUCAUAACAAAGAUAGAGAAGAAUGGAAUUUAUUUAGAACGUGGAACUAAACAAAAAAGAAAAAAAUUUAAAGAAAAUGACUAACCUCAGGGAAUGUUGGAUUCCCAGAGUCCACAGUGGAAGCUUAGCAACCCAAAGCAAAUCCCAAACUCUUGUCCUCUCUCUCUCUCUCUGUAUGAGUGACAGCAACAAACUUCUUGACCCACAUAGUGAUAUCGAUUAAAUCUUCUUAUUUUAUAAUAUGUUACAAUGGUUAACAGUUAAUACUGCACUUGCUUUUCACAUUUUAUAUAAUCAGGGAAUAUAAUAGGGGAAUUCCUCUACAAUCCUUUUCUCGAAACAAUUGCAUGAUUGAACGAAUUUUGCUUUUCUUAAUAAUCAUUUAUAUUAUCAAGAUUUGGUUAGGGUGAUCACAUAGCUUUUAUAUAUUCUUUUCUCAUACUUAGCUGAACCAGUGGCCGGAAUGCUACUUAUCUUUAGUCUUAUACUGCCAAACCUUUUUUUUCUUGGCUCUUGGGUUCUGACGCAAGGCGUGAGUGAGUGAGUGCAGUUGUUGGAGAGAAUGAGGUUGGUGUUAUGUGAAGCUUAAACAUGAGAAAACAACACAAAACCCAAAUCAAAAAUUUUUUUUUGGUUGAAUCUUUCAAAACUAUCAGAUCAUUUCUAACUCCUAUCUAACCUUUACUAGCCCGCUUCAUAUUUUAAUCAGUAGCUAUUCUUGGCAAUUGGGUAUUUGAUUUGCUCCUUGGAUUCAAUGGAGGCAUGGGAAAGGAAUGCCCUUUUUUGUGUGGUUUUGUCUUGCUUAUGGACAUCUGUAUGCGGAUUACUAUCUCCAAAAGGUGUCAACUAUGAAGUGGAGGCUUUGGUGAGCAUUAAGGAUUCACUGCAUGAUCCUCAUAAUGUUCUUAACUGGGAUGCAACUGCUGUGGAUCCAUGCAGCUGGACUAUGAUCACUUGUUCUCCUGAUGGUCUGGUUACUGGCCUAGGAGCUCCAAGCCAAAGUUUAUCUGGAACUCUUUCACCAAGCAUAGGAAACUUGACAAAUCUCCAGCUUGUGUGAGUAUAACAAUUGUUCAUGUAGGAAGCCAGGUUUUAUGUUAUAAUC
This 1341-nucleotide unclassified non-coding RNA is filed under the name Hevea brasiliensis (rubber tree). Lineage: Eukaryota; Viridiplantae; Streptophyta; Magnoliopsida; Malpighiales; Euphorbiaceae. The record is from RNAcentral.